GCCAGGUGUGGUGGCACACACUUGUAAUCCCAGUGGCUCAGGAGGCUGAGGCAGGAGGAUCAAGAGUUCAAAGCCAGCCUCAGCAAUGAUGAGGUGCUAAGCAACUCAGUGAGACCCUGUCUCUA
Molecule: small RNA, 125 nt
Filed under: Marmota monax (woodchuck)
Lineage: Eukaryota; Metazoa; Chordata; Mammalia; Rodentia; Sciuridae
Source: RNAcentral